CCUGCGGAAGGAUCAUUACUGAGUGCGGGCUGCCUCCGGGCGCCCAACCUCCCACCCGUGAAUACCUAACACUGUUGCUUCGGCGGGGAGCUCCCUCGGGGGCGAGCCGCCGGGGACUACUGAACUUCAUGCCUGAGAGUGAUGCAGUCUGAGUCUGAAUAUAAAAUCAGUCAAAACUUUCAACAAUGGAUCUCUUGGUUCCGGCAUCGAUGAAGAACGCAGCGAACUGCGAUAAGUAAUGUGAAUUGCAGAAUUCAGUGAAUCAUCGAGUCUUUGAACGCACAUUGCGCCCCCUGGCAUUCCGGGGGGCAUGCCUGUCCGAGCGUCAUUGCUGCCCAUCAAGCCCGGCUUGUGUGUUGGGUCGUCGUCCCCCCCGGGGGACGGGCCCGAAAGGCAGCGGCGGCACCGUGUCCGGUCCUCGAGCGUAUGGGGCUUUAUCACCCGCUCGACUAGGGCCGGCCGGGCGCCAGCCGACGUCUCCAACCAUUUUUCUUCAGGUGACCUC
This 505-nucleotide ribosomal RNA is filed under the name Aspergillus sp. 34m. RNAcentral's name for it is "partial 18S ribosomal RNA". The stretch from base 175 to 328 matches the Rfam family "5.8S ribosomal RNA". The record is from RNAcentral. Lineage: Eukaryota; Fungi; Ascomycota; Eurotiomycetes; Eurotiales; Aspergillaceae.